GACGAACGCUGGCGGCGUGCUUAACACAUGCAAGUCGAACGAAAAGAGGGAAAGAGCUUGCUCUUUCCGGAAUUGAGUGGCAAACGGGUGAGUAACACGUAAACAACCUGCCUUCAGGAUGGGGACAACAGACGGAAACGACUGCUAAUACCGAAUAAGUUCCAAGGGCCGCAUGGCCCAUGGAAGAAAAGGUGGCCUCUACCUGUAAGCUAUCGCCUGAAGAGGGGUUUGCGUCUGAUUAGCUGGUUGGAGGGGUAACGGCCCACCAAGGCGACGAUCAGUAGCCGGUCUGAGAGGAUGAACGGCCACACUGGAAUUGAGACACGGUCCAGACUCCUACGGGAGGCAGCAGUGGGGAAUCUUCCGCAAUGGGCGAAAGCCUGACGGAGCAACGCCGCGUGAGUGAUGACGGCCUUCGGGUUGUAAAACUCUGUGAUCCGGGACGAAAAGGCAGAGUGCGAAGAACAAACUGCAUUGACGGUACCGGAAAAGCAAGCCACGGCUAACUACGUGC
Molecule: ribosomal RNA, 514 nt
Filed under: uncultured bacterium
Lineage: Bacteria
Description: partial 16S ribosomal RNA
Rfam family: Bacterial small subunit ribosomal RNA
Source: RNAcentral